Molecule: small nuclear RNA, 103 nt
Filed under: Ictidomys tridecemlineatus (thirteen-lined ground squirrel)
Lineage: Eukaryota; Metazoa; Chordata; Mammalia; Rodentia; Sciuridae
Source: RNAcentral
NNNCUUCAGCAGCACCUACACUAAAAUUGGAACGACACAGAGAAGAUUAGCAUGGCCCCUGCUCAAAGAUGACAUGCAAAUUCAUGAAGCAUUCUAUAUUUUU